CCCUAGUAACUGCGAGUGAAGCGGGAAAAGCUCAAAUUUAAAAUCUGGCAGGCUCUGUCUGUCCGAGUUGUAAUCUAGAGAAGUGUUAUCCGCGCUGGACCGUGUACAAGUCUCCUGGAAUGGAGCGUCACAGAGGGUGAGAAUCCCGUCUUUGACACGGACUACCAGUGCUUUGUGAUGCGCUCUCAAAGAGUCGAGUUGUUUGGGAAUGCAGCUCAAAAUGGGUGGUAAAUUCCAUCUAAAGCUAAAUAUUGGCGAGAGACCGAUAGCGAACAAGUACCGUGAGGGAAAGAUGAAAAGAACUUUGGAAAGAGAGUUAAACAGUACGUGAAAUUGUUGAAAGGGAAACGCUUGAAGUCAGUCGCGUUGGCUAGGGAUCAACCAGGUUUCUACUUGGCGUACUUCCUAGUCUACGGGUCAGCAUCAGUUUUGACCAUUGGAUAAAGGUCAGGGGAAUGUGGCAUCUCCGGAUGUGUUAUAGCCCUUGAUUGUAUACAGUGGUUGGGACUGAGGAACUCAGCACGCCGAAAGGCCGGGGCUUUGCUCACGUUCGUGCUUAGGAUGCUGGCAUAAUGGCUUUAAUCGACCCGUCUUGAAACACGGACCAAGGAGUCUAACAUGCCUGCGAGUGUUUGGGUGGAAAACCCGAGCGCGUAAUGAAAGUGAAAGUUGAGAUCUCUGUCGUGGAGAGCAUCGACGCCCGGUCCAGACCUUUUGUGACGGUGCCGCGGUAGAGCAUGUAUGUUGGGACCCGAAAGAUGGUGAACUAUGCCUGAAUAGGGUGAAGCCAGAGGAAACUCUGGUGGAGGCUCGUAGCGAUUCUGACGUGCAAAUCGAUCGUCGAAUUUGGGUAUAGGGG
Molecule: ribosomal RNA, 859 nt
Filed under: Resupinatus kavinae
Lineage: Eukaryota; Fungi; Basidiomycota; Agaricomycetes; Agaricales; Resupinataceae
Description: LSU rRNA
Rfam family: Eukaryotic large subunit ribosomal RNA
Source: RNAcentral